CUGCUCAGAUUGAACGCUGGCGGCAGGCUUAACACAUGCAAGUCGAGCGGAUGAAGGUAGCUUGCUACUGGAUUCAGCGGCGGACGGGUGAGUAAUGCUUAGGAAUCUGCCUAUUAGUGGGGGACAACGUUCCGAAAGGAGCGCUAAUACCGCAUACGUCCUACGGGAGAAAGCAGGGGACCUUUGGGCCUUGCGCUAAUAGAUGAGCCUAAGUCGGAUUAGCUAGUUGGUAGGGUAAAGGCCUACCAAGGCGACGAUCUGUAGCGGGUCUGAGAGGAUGAUCCGCCACACUGGGACUGAGACACGGCCCAGACUCCUACGGGAGGCAGCAGUGGGGAAUAUUGGACAAUGGGGGGAACCCUGAUCCAGCCAUGCCGCGUGUGUGAAGAAGGCCUUUUGGUUGUAAAGCACUUUAAGCGAGGAGGAGGCUACCUAGAUUAAUACUUUAGGAUAGUGGACGUUACUCGCAGAAUAAGCACCGGCUAACUCUGUGCCAGCAGCCGCGGUAAUACAGAGGGUGCGAGCGUUAAUCGGAUUUACUGGGCGUAAAGCGUGCGUAGGCGGCCAAUUAAGUCAAAUGUGAAAUCCCCGAGCUUAACUUGGGAAUUGCAUUCGAUACUGGUUGGCUAGAGUAUGGGAGAGGAUGGUAGAAUUCCAGGUGUAGCGGUGAAAUGCGUAGAGAUCUGGAGGAAUACCGAUGGCGAAGGCAGCCAUCUGGCCUAAUACUGACGCUGAGGUACGAAAGCAUGGGGAGCAAACAGGAUUAGAUACCCUGGUAGUCCAUGCCGUAAACGAUGUCUACUAGCCGUUGGGGCCCUUGAGGCUUUAGUGGCGCAGCUAACGCGAUAA
This 849-nucleotide ribosomal RNA is filed under the name Acinetobacter sp. Its description in RNAcentral is "bacterial SSU rRNA". It matches the Rfam family "Bacterial small subunit ribosomal RNA", at positions 20 to 863 of the family's 1533-position model. The record is from RNAcentral. Lineage: Bacteria; Pseudomonadati; Pseudomonadota; Gammaproteobacteria; Moraxellales; Moraxellaceae.